AUAGACGCUCUGCAUGUAAAACUUCUUAUCUCCACACUUGAAUUUCUGUUACAGUUCGCAAUCGUUGUACAUAUUACGCGUACAUUACAUACCUACUGAUUAUUUGAACAAAUCUAUCAAAUUUGUAUGUAAUUCCACAACAGGAAUACGUAAAAGUAAAGAAAAUUAUUGUUUUUCAAAAAAAAAAAAAAAGUUUUAUAAAUUGAAAUCCGCACAAAAGGAUGAAUGAAUACGCCAGCAGGUUAUCGUUUUUGACACAAAUCGAAACCAUGGAAAAUGAAACUCUACUGCGGUUGUACAUAUCUUCGAUUAUCGGCCUACUGGUCAUAGGUUUUUACAAAUUGUUCAACCCCAAAACGCCAAUAAGCUGGUUUACAAUGAACUUGUUUUAUGGUUGUUUUUUCACUUUUUCGACCUGCGUUUCUGCCCGAAUAUCGCAGACUGUCAUCGAAACACAAUAUUUCCACAAUUGGUUCUUCAUGCCCUUUACUAUUCUAAACUGUAUGGCGACACUGGCCUUCAGCAAGUUCGCUAAUGCGUUGGAAAUAACCUUCCGCGCCGAUCAAAGAGUUUUCCGAAAGACAGGAUUCAUUACUUAUUGUUUCGCUCCUACGUAUUUUCUUAUUUCUUCCUAUUUCAAGAAUGAGAUAGAUGUCAUCGACGAUCUAUUCACAAUCAUGAACAUCAUUCGAAUGGCUUCUUUACUACUCUCGAUCAUCGCGCUAAUAAAUUUCAUGACAACAACUUACGAUGACUCUGAAGAUGAACGAAACGUCGAAAUGUUGGUAAAUUAUGCAGGCACAACAUUUGUGGAAAACGUGAUGGAAGGAUUAUUUGUUUGGUUUUUCUUCAAGAAGUAAAUGUACAUGCACAUUAACGUAACGUAUAGAAAAUGGUUUCAAAUGUUAAUACUUUCGACAAUGAUGAUUUUUUUUUCAGUGAAUAAGUUGAAUAUUUAUUAAAUUAUGCGAAGUUUUGAUAAGUAAUUAAUCACUCUUCAAGCUGGAAAUUUUUUUACUAAUCCCUUUUUUUUGUAUAUUCUUUCUUAUCAUGACCAAUAUUCCUGCAUAGUUCCUGGAUACUCUGUAAUAGAUACCUAUGUAUAAUAAUACGUUCAUAAGUCAGAUUGUUUGUACAUUUAUACAAAAAAUAAAUUCAAUGUGUUUAAUACAUCAA
Long non-coding RNA from Planococcus citri (citrus mealybug), 1176 nucleotides. RefSeq lists it as uncharacterized. The transcript is spliced from 2 exons. Lineage: Eukaryota; Metazoa; Arthropoda; Insecta; Hemiptera; Pseudococcidae. The record is from RefSeq and is a predicted model, not a curated record.